AUUAGAUGAUACUAUCCUACUUGGAUAACUGCAGAAAAGCUGGAGCUAAUACAUGCAAUUAAGCUUGAACGCAAGAACAAGCGCAUUUAUUAGAAGCUAAACCAAUCGGGCUUCGGCCUGACGUUUGGUGAAUCUGACUAACUCUGCUGAUCGCACGAUCUCGCAUCGGCGACGUAUCUUUCAAAUGUCUGCUUUAUCAACUUUCGAUGGUAGUUUAUACGACUACCAUGGUUGUAACGGAUAACGGAGAAUUAGGGUUCGACUCCGGAGAGGGAGCCUGAGAAACGGCUACCACAUCCAAGGAAAGGCAGCAGGCACGCAAAAUUACCCAAUCCCGGCACGGGGGAGGUAGUGACGAAAAAUAACGAGGCAGUCCUCUUUGGAGGUCUGCCAUCGGAAUGGGAACAAUUUAAAAUCCUUUUAUCGAGGAUCUAUUGGGANGGGCAAGUCUGGUGGCCAGCAGCCGCGGGNAAUUCCAGC
RNAcentral lists this ribosomal RNA (480 nucleotides) under uncultured eukaryote. Its description in RNAcentral is "bacterial SSU rRNA". It matches the Rfam family "Eukaryotic small subunit ribosomal RNA", at positions 119 to 589 of the family's 1831-position model. The record is from RNAcentral.